UACGUAGGGUGCGAGCGUUAAUCGGAAUUACUGGGCGUAAAGCGUGCGCAGGCGGCGCGUUAAGACAGGUGUGAAAGCCCCGAGCUUAACUUGGGAAUUGCGCUUGUGACUGGCGUGCUGGAGUGUGGCAGAGGGAGGUGGAAUUCCUAGUGUAGAGGUGAAAUUCGUAGAUAUUAGGAAGAACACCAGUGGCGAAGGCGGCUCACUGGCCCGGUACUGACGCUGAGGCGCGAAAGCGUGGGGAGCAAACAGG
Molecule: ribosomal RNA, 253 nt
Filed under: uncultured bacterium
Lineage: Bacteria
Description: partial 16S ribosomal RNA
Rfam family: Bacterial small subunit ribosomal RNA
Source: RNAcentral